This 251-nucleotide ribosomal RNA is filed under the name uncultured bacterium. Its description in RNAcentral is "partial 16S ribosomal RNA". It matches the Rfam family "Bacterial small subunit ribosomal RNA", at positions 81 to 334 of the family's 1533-position model. The record is from RNAcentral.
ACUUGGUGUUGAGAGUGGCGCACGGGUGAGUAACACGAGUUUACCUGCCCUCAAGACGGGGAUAACCGGCGGAAACGUAGGCUAAUACCCGAUAAGCUCACGGACUGUAGAGGUCUGUGAGAAAAGCUCAGGUGCUUGAGGAGGGGGCUGCGGCCCAUCAGCUAGUUGGUAAGGUAACGGCUUACCAAGGCGAAGACGGGUAGGGGACCUGAGAGGGUGACCCCCCACACUGGGACUGAGACACGGCCCAG